Molecule: ribosomal RNA, 300 nt
Filed under: uncultured Pyrobaculum sp.
Lineage: Archaea; Thermoproteati; Thermoproteota; Thermoprotei; Thermoproteales; Thermoproteaceae
Description: bacterial SSU rRNA
Rfam family: Bacterial small subunit ribosomal RNA
Source: RNAcentral
GGGAGUUGCGGGCCGGCGAGCGCGGUAGUACGAAGGGGGGAUGCGUUAAUCGGAAUUACUGGGGGUAAAGGGUGCGGAGGCGGGUAUUUAAGUCUGCCGUGAAAUCCCCGGGCUCAACCUGGGAAUGGCGGUGGAUACUGGAUAGCUAGAGUGUGUCAGAGGAUGGUGGAAUUCCCGGUGUAGCGGUGAAAUGCGUAGAGAUCGGGAGGAACAUCAGUGGCGAAGGCGGCCAUCUGGGACAACACUGACGCUGAAGCACGAAAGCGUGGGGAGCAAACAGGAUUAGAUACCCCUGUAGUC